UCAAAAGAAAAAAAAAAAAACAUCCUUACCUGCAAGCCAUCAAGAGUUCAUAUCUUAAGCCUAAGCCGCCCAGUUCUCCUUGCUUGGAGUCCUGCAAACAGAUGCCUUCCUCCAUCGCUGCAGAGCCUCAGUGUGGACAUCUGGUGUUAUUGCGCCAGGCUGUUUCUCUUGGAGGUGGGGCAGGAGGGUGAGGACAGCACUUCCCAGGAGCAGACAGCUGGAGGCUGUUCCCGAGGUCAUGUCCUUAGAGGAGAAGUCAGAGUCCAGCAGCCACCGGCACCAAGGCAGGUUUUUGGAGACAGAGAGAGAUUGGCUGCAUUGUAUCUGCGUCAUUGACCGUUCUGGUGGAGGUUCGCGUGGCCAGGGAGUCUGAGUGCAGCCCCGAUGCGUGCUUCAUUCAUGCCAAUCUAAUCCACCUGCAGUUUCCUGCUAGCUGUGUCUCGAGGAGCCCUCUAGCCACCAGACGUGUCUUUAAUGCCUAUAAAGUCCAGUUCGGAGGAGGAAACAUGUUAUCAGGCUGUGCUGACGAAGCGAGUAGCAGCUCUGGAGCCAUCAGCCACCAACCAUCUCAUCUCAGCCCAGGGCAUGCUGGGAGAGGCCAGGAAAAGUCACUUCUCUUCUUUGCUUUCACUGUCUUUUCUGUGGCCUCAAAGUCUUCAAAGGGGAGACCUGGUGUUCUCAGCACUGCUCAGCCUCCACGAAGCCCUCCUUCUCAUGGCCCGAGGGCUCCACCUCCACAUAGGUGGAAUGAUCCGCAUGGCUGCGAAACUUCAUGGCUGGCCAGUGGUGAGGUCUCCGCUGGAGUAGGCACAGAGGCAAAGUCAGUGGGCAUGACCCUCCCCAUGGGCCCCCACACUCCUGAGCAGCAAAGCCAAGACUCUCUCUUACAAGGGUCCUUGGGGCCUACUAGGAGCCAGACAACUGACCUUCAGGGACCCUCUCCCUAAAACGUGCCCUGCUGUGAUCCCCCAACCACUGGGAAACCUGCCGGAAGCUACGGUGUGGAAGGGCACUUUAUCCUUCACUGCGUGGUCUGCAGAACUCACAGCUAAAAGCUUCAGAAAUAUACCAAGUGGCGACCGGGGACUGCAAAGUGAGGAAUUGGCUCAGAGGCGGCUGGAAUGACGCUGAGACUCUGGAAAUGCCAGGAUAACCCUCCAGGAGACGCUGACGCAGACGCAGACAGCAGCCCUGCGGUCACACGGACCUCGAUGAAGAAGAGCGCAGCAUUGGACGUGGGGUGGCCGCUGAUGUAGAUCCCAGCCAGGAUGAUGGCCGCCACAAGGAAGACUGCCAGCACGAUGCCCACGAUGGUGCCCAGGUGCACAGGGGUGCCCUUCGUCUUGGGGGACAGCUUGUUCUCAAGGCCUGUGGAGAGAGCAUUAGGGCGGGCAGGGGCUGCAGGGGAGCAGGGAAGGUCGAACCGUGGGGUCUUGGGUUCUAACAAAGUCUCAGAAAUGAAAGCCUACAGAGCCUUUGGGUCUACUCAUCAAAUACAGGAAAAGGUUGAGCAGGAGCUGGAAUCAUUAUGAGUAAGGCAUUCACUUUGUUCUUGGCACCAUCUGGGUAGUUUUCCAAAAUCACCUACAAGUUGCCCAGAUGUCUAGUAAGUAUCAUAAGAGAAGUCCUCUCUGAUAUCUGUGCUACCACAGAAGCGCUAUUAAGGAAUUCACAGAGGGCAUGUGAGGGUUAAGAGUUUGGGAUCUGAAAUCUGGCUGCCUGGGUUGAAAUCUGUGCUGUGCCACAUACUAGCUGUGUGGCCUUGUGCAAAUUAUAUAACCUCUCUGUGUCUUCAUUAUGACUUCUGUAGAACAAGGAUAAUAAUACCCACUGAAUGGGGUUAUUGAGAGGGUUAAAAUGAGAUGAUUCAUGUCAAGCCCUGAGGACUAUGUCUCCCAGUUUGGAUAACUUCAAUAAAUGUUAAUAGAGAGCAAGUGACCAUGGUUUUCCCUAUCCC
Non-coding RNA from Saimiri boliviensis boliviensis (Bolivian squirrel monkey), 1957 nucleotides. Lineage: Eukaryota; Metazoa; Chordata; Mammalia; Primates; Cebidae. The record is from RefSeq and is a predicted model, not a curated record.